AAAUUUUAGGUCAUUUGAACACUACAACAGAAUUAGGUUAUAGGGACACAUGUUUGAGACACUUUUGAGUAAGUGUCCUAUUUAUGCUAAAACUUAAAAACACAUCUACUAAUGUUUAAAUAUAAAGCCCAAUCCAACCAAAAAUAAAAGAUUACUCUACUCAACCGACCACACCCAGUCCAUUUGGCCCGAUUACAAGAAAAAAAAAAAAAAAAAAAGAAAAAUCAAUUAUCAUCUUUUCUUUUCUCUUCAUUCAAUCCACUGAAAUUCUAGACAAAGAGCUUUUACUGUCGUCCUCCUCCGCCACCGCAGCCAACAAGAUAGAGUUUCGACGGUUGCUAAAUGCUUAAAUAAGUGUUGGUAAAUUAGCAGCACUCUUUUAGGUUAUAGCGACACUCUUUAACUGUCACUAUAUACCUAGCGACCCCACAUAUAGCAAAAUUUUUUAAAAGUAUCGGUAAUUUUAGCUAGCAACACUUUUUUGACAUGUACUUACAUUUAAAAGUGUCGUUAUAGACUGUUUUUGUUGUAGUGGAAUGAAAUAAUAUUAAUAAAAUAAUUAGAAGUUAAG
RNAcentral lists this long non-coding RNA (571 nucleotides) under Ananas comosus (pineapple). Its description in RNAcentral is "long non-coding RNA (ACOM_LNC043236)". Lineage: Eukaryota; Viridiplantae; Streptophyta; Magnoliopsida; Poales; Bromeliaceae. The record is from RNAcentral.